This 252-nucleotide long non-coding RNA is filed under the name Brachypodium distachyon (stiff brome). Its description in RNAcentral is "long non-coding RNA (BDIS_LNC004199)". Lineage: Eukaryota; Viridiplantae; Streptophyta; Magnoliopsida; Poales; Poaceae. The record is from RNAcentral.
GACUUGACCGCCCUCUACAUAAGACUUGUUCACCUCCAGGUCCUCCACGCCGCACAACUUGACAGACUACACGUACGUAUGGAGUAUAAAGCUAGAAGAAGAAGAAAAAAAAAUCAAUUUUCUCAACGCCAUGGAAUUCCAACAAAUCAAUUUUCUCAACGCCAUGGAAUUCCAUGAUCUCGGUGAGACCACAAGUAUGUGCGUAGACUCUGGCUGGCUUGAAUAUAUCUCAUUAACUUGCAGAGGGGAAAA